CCUACGGGUGGCAGCAGUGAGGAAUAUUGGUCAAUGGACGAGAGUCUGAACCAGCCAAGUAGCGUGAAGGAUGACUGCCCUAUGGGUUGUAAACUUCUUUUAUAUGGGAAUAAAACGUUCCACGUGUGGGAUUUUGUAUGUACCAUAUGAAUAAGGAUCGGCUAACUCCGUGCCAGCAGCCGCGGUAAUACGGAGGAUCCGAGCGUUAUCCGGAUUUAUUGGGUUUAAAGGGAGCGUAGGUGGAUUGUUAAGUCAGUUGUGAAAGUUUGAGGCUCAACCGUAAAAUUGCAGUUGAAACUGGCAGUCUUGAGUACAGUAGAGGUGGGCGGAAUUCGUGGUGUAGCGGUGAAAUGCUUAGAUAUCACGAAGAACUCCGAUUGCGAAGGCAGUUCACUGGACUGCAACUGACACUGAGGCUCGAAAGUGUGGAUAUCAAACAGGAUUAGAUACCCCUGUAGUC
RNAcentral lists this ribosomal RNA (460 nucleotides) under uncultured bacterium. RNAcentral's name for it is "partial 16S ribosomal RNA". It matches the Rfam family "Bacterial small subunit ribosomal RNA", at positions 338 to 795 of the family's 1533-position model. The record is from RNAcentral.